UUCUAGCCCCGGUAGUAGCGGCAUCCUUUUGUAGCUUUCUUUAAGCUACAAAAGAUACAGCGGAUAACGGGAAAUAGC
Molecule: small RNA, 78 nt
Filed under: Flavobacterium crassostreae
Lineage: Bacteria; Pseudomonadati; Bacteroidota; Flavobacteriia; Flavobacteriales; Flavobacteriaceae
Description: Flavo-1 RNA
Rfam family: Flavo-1 RNA
Source: Rfam by way of RNAcentral